This 860-nucleotide long non-coding RNA is filed under the name Podarcis lilfordi (Lilford's wall lizard). The record is from RNAcentral. Lineage: Eukaryota; Metazoa; Chordata; Lepidosauria; Squamata; Lacertidae.
UAGUUCUUAAAUUUCUUCCAAUCCUCCUCGAUUCUCUCUUCUCCCAGGUCACGGAUUCUGCCAGUCAUUUCAGCCAGUUGCAUAUAGUCUAUCAGUUGCAUCUGCCAUUCUUCCAGUGUGGGUAGAUCUUGAGUUUUCCAAUGUUUUGCGAGUAGUAUCCUUGCUGCUGUUGUUGCAUACAUGAAAAAUGUCUGAUCCUUCUUUGCCACCCCUUGGCUGACAAUACCCAAAAGGAAAGCCUCUGGUUUCUUAGUGAAAGUAUAUUUAAAUACCUUUUUCAAUUCAUUAUAAAUCAUUUCCCAGAACGCCUUCACUUUAGGGCAGGUCCACCAGAGGUGAAAGAACGUUCCUUCACACUCUUUACAUUUCCAGCACUUGUUAUCAGACAGGUGGUAAUUUUGCGAGUUUGACUGGGGUCAUAUACCAUCUAUAAAUCAUUUUCAUUACAUUUUCUUUCAAAGCAUUACAUGCAGUGAAUUUCAAUCCAUUACUCCACAGCCUUUCCCAGUCCUCAAACAUAAUGUUAUGCCCAAUAUCCUGUGCCCACCUUAUCAUAGCCGAUUUAACCAUUUCAUCUUGUGUAUUCCAUUCCAACAGCAAGUUAUACAUCCUUGAAAGUAUCUUAGUCUUUGGUGUACAGAGGCAGAUUUAGACUGGUUUUCAGAGCCUCUCUAUAACCAACAUAAUUUUUAAAAGUUUUAAUAAAAAUGUGGUGUGUGAGAAAUGUGAAGCCCCCUGAACCACUCCCUAACAAUACCCUGGCAUUAAUUAAACUCUUUUAAUUAUUCACAUUUUCAUAGAAUUGUAGAGUUGGAAGGGACCCCGAGGGUCAUCUAGCCCAACCCCCUGCAGUGCAGGAA